RNAcentral lists this ribosomal RNA (161 nucleotides) under uncultured bacterium. Its description in RNAcentral is "partial 16S rRNA". It matches the Rfam family "Bacterial small subunit ribosomal RNA", at positions 358 to 511 of the family's 1533-position model. The record is from RNAcentral.
GGAAUCUUCCACAAUGGACGCAAGUCUGAUGGAGCAACGCCGCGUGAGUGAAGAAGGGUUUCGGCUCGUAAAGCUCUGUUGUUAAAGAAGAACGUGGGUAAGAGUAACUGUUUACCCAGUGACGGUAUUUAACCAGAAAGCCACGGCUAACUCCGUGCCAG